Molecule: long non-coding RNA, 378 nt
Organism: Varroa destructor (honeybee mite)
Lineage: Eukaryota; Metazoa; Arthropoda; Arachnida; Mesostigmata; Varroidae
Source: RefSeq, a predicted model, not a curated record
UUCAUUCCUAUUCGGUCUUUUUCAGGACAAACAACGAGUUAAUUUUGCUGAAACAUAGCGCUAUAUAACAGUGGUCAUCGCUAUGUAGCUAGGCGCUACAAACUGACUCUAUGCAAACAAACACAAGUAGGGGAUGGAACCUGCUGGACGGAAAAGACGCUUAGGCAACACGAUGGUUAUGAUAUCGAUGAUAGUAAACCAAAGAAAAGCGGAUACUGAUUUGACGUUAAGCAACUACGCUUCGUCACGCAUGUAGCAGCGGUAUGCGACUGGCAUUUAACUUUACAAGUGUAAGGACGACAAAGGUAAACAAAAGGCCGAAGAACAGGUGAUCCAUUGAUACGGACAACGGAUACGCGGACACACAAUACAAGAUAU